RNAcentral lists this ribosomal RNA (790 nucleotides) under uncultured archaeon. RNAcentral's name for it is "bacterial SSU rRNA". It matches the Rfam family "Archaeal small subunit ribosomal RNA", at positions 85 to 878 of the family's 1478-position model. The record is from RNAcentral.
ACUGCUCAGUAACACGUAGUCAACAUGCCCAGGGGACGUGGAUAACCUCGGGAAACUGAGGAUAAACCGCGAUAGGCCAAGAUUUCUGGAAUGAAUCAUGGUUUAAAUCUAUAUGGCCCCUGGAUUGGACUGCGGCCGAUCAGGCUGUUGGUGAGGUAAUGGCCCACCAAACCUGUAACCGGUACGGGCUCUGAGAGGAGGAGCCCGGAGAUGGGCACUUAGACAAGGGCCCAGGCCCUAUGGGGCGCAGCAGGCGCGAAACCUCUGCAAUAAGCGAAAGCUUGACAGGGUUACUCUGAGUGAUUUCCGCUAAGGAAGUCUUUUGGCACCUCUAAAAAUGGUGCAGAAUAAGGGGUGGGCAAGUCUGGUGUCAGCCGUCGCGGUAAUACCAGCACCCCGAGUGGUCGGGACGAUUAUUGGGCCUAAAGCAUCCGUAGCCGGUCCUGCAAGUCCUCCGUUAAAUCCACCCGCUCAACGGUUGGGCCGCGGGGGAUACUACAGGGCUAGGAGGCGGGAGAGGCAAGCGGUACUCGAUGGGUAGGGGUAAAAUCCACUGAUCCAUUGAAGACCACCAGUGGCGAAGGCGGCUUGCCAGAACGCGCUCGACGGUGAGGGAUGAAAGCUGGGGGAGCAAACCGGAUUAGAUACCCGGGUAGUCCCAGCUGUAAACGAUGCAGACUCGGUGAUGGGCUGGCUUCGUGCCAACCCGGUGCCGCAGGGAAGCCGUUAAGUCUGCCGCCUGGGGAGUACGGUCGCAAGACUGAAACUUAAAGGAAUUGGCGGGGGAGCA